AACAGAAAAUAGUUUAAUUA
This 20-nucleotide transfer RNA is filed under the name Ameiurus nebulosus (brown bullhead). RNAcentral describes it as "partial tRNA-Pro". The record is from RNAcentral. RNAcentral also lists the same sequence under 2 other names. Lineage: Eukaryota; Metazoa; Chordata; Actinopteri; Siluriformes; Ictaluridae.